RNAcentral lists this ribosomal RNA (253 nucleotides) under uncultured bacterium. Its description in RNAcentral is "partial 16S ribosomal RNA". It matches the Rfam family "Bacterial small subunit ribosomal RNA", at positions 524 to 776 of the family's 1533-position model. The record is from RNAcentral.
UACGUAGGGUGCGAGCGUUAAUCGGAAUUACUGGGCGUAAAGCGUGCGCAGGCGGCGCGUUAAGACAGGUGUGAAAUCCCCGAGCUUAACUUGGGAAUUGCGCUCGAAACUACGUGGCUCGAGUGUGGCAGAGGAAGGUGGAAUUCCACGUGUAGCGGUGAAAUGCGUAGAGAUGUGGAGGAACACCGAUGGCGAAGGCAGCCUCCUGGGCCGACACUGACGCUCAUGCACGAAAGCGUGGGGAGCAAACAGG